GCUGGUGUAGCUCAGCUGGUAGAGCAGCUGAUUCGUAAUCAGCAGGUCAGGAGUUCAAGUCUCCUCACCAGCUC
Molecule: transfer RNA, 74 nt
Filed under: Ignavibacteria bacterium
Lineage: Bacteria; Pseudomonadati; Ignavibacteriota; Ignavibacteria
Description: tRNA-Thr
Rfam family: tRNA
About the family: Transfer RNA (tRNA) molecules are approximately 80 nucleotides in length. Their secondary structure includes four short double-helical elements and three loops (D, anti-codon, and T loops).
Source: RNAcentral